Molecule: transfer RNA, 77 nt
Filed under: Lysobacteraceae bacterium
Lineage: Bacteria; Pseudomonadati; Pseudomonadota; Gammaproteobacteria; Lysobacterales; Lysobacteraceae
Description: Xanthomonadaceae bacterium tRNA-Leu
Rfam family: tRNA
About the family: Transfer RNA (tRNA) molecules are approximately 80 nucleotides in length. Their secondary structure includes four short double-helical elements and three loops (D, anti-codon, and T loops). Further hydrogen bonds mediate the characteristic L-shaped molecular structure. tRNAs have two regions of fundamental functional importance: the anti-codon, which is responsible for specific mRNA codon recognition, and the 3' end, to which the tRNAs corresponding amino acid is attached (by aminoacyl-tRNA synthetases). tRNAs cope with the degeneracy of the genetic code in two manners: having more than one tRNA (with a specific anti-codon) for a particular amino acid; and 'wobble' base-pairing, i.e. permitting non-standard base-pairing at the 3rd anti-codon position.
Source: RNAcentral
GCCCAGGUGAUGCAAUUGGAAGACAUGCCGGUUUCAGAUACCGGUUCUUGUGGGUUCGAGUCCCACCCUGGGCACCA